ACAACCGUGGCCGAUCGUGCCAACGCCGACUCAGCGGCCGAACACCACAAAUCUAAGCUAAACAGGAUACAAAUCAUGAGGGGGAGAAGGGUUUAAGGGUUUACCUUGCUUCGAGGAGGAGCCGAGCAGCUCUUUCGGUAGCUUGAUCGCUUCCCCCGGUGCCUCAGCCUCCUACUCCGACGGCGUCGCUCCCGAUCCGAUUCCUUGCACAGAAGGAGAAGGGAAUGAGAAGGAGUGAGAGAAGAAUUCUUGGGUUCUUAUAGGCUCGGCGGGGAGGGAGAAGUGGUGGUGAUCGUGGCUGUCAGGCGGUUAUAACCGCCUCAACAGUUGCCGAUCUCCACCGCUAUUCCUCCCAAGUCUCCAGAUGGGCCGGGAUUUACAUUCUUCCCCCCUUAAAAGAAAUUUCGUCCUCGAAAUUUUACAUACCUUAAUUCUUAAACAAUUGAAGAUAUUUAGUCUUUUAUCUAAUAUUCUACUAGACUUCUGCUGCGCAACUCUGAUUGAGCCCAACAUGUCUAAGGCUCAGUCUCAAUUUGUAUUGACUCUAACUUUCUCAUUUAAGUGAAAAGAU
Molecule: non-coding RNA, 571 nt
Organism: Phoenix dactylifera (date palm)
Lineage: Eukaryota; Viridiplantae; Streptophyta; Magnoliopsida; Arecales; Arecaceae
Source: RefSeq, a predicted model, not a curated record